UGAAAGCAAUGAUGUUAUAACACACAGUGAAAUUGAAAAAAAAAACAGACAAAAAAAACGCGCAUUUGCUUCAUUCGAAGAUCAACACACACAAGCAAAUUGUCAGACCAUAUAUGAUAUUUAUUGAUAUAACUUGAAAUCUAUGCAUGGAAAGAGAAUUGUUAAAGAUACGUGUGACAAAAAACUGGUAACCGUGUUUAAUAUGAAAUAAUUCACUUCAUGUCACAUGUGAAUUCAAUGAAAAUUUUGGAAUCAAGCCAUUGUCAGUAGGAACAAAAAUAAAUAUUAAGAGGAUGAUAUAUGUGAUACAAUGAUUCAAAAACUUUGAAGACAAAGAAAUAAAAGAAUUUAAUCAGAGGAAAUCAAAGAUACCAGGCUUAUAGUUGCAUACGUCAGACAGGCGUUUUAGUCUACCCAAUAUUCAUUCUUGACGCUCAACAUUUUUUUAAUAUAAGGCCAAACAAAGUGCGAAGUUGAAGAGCUUUUAGAACAAAUAUUCAGAAAGGACAGGACUGUGAACGUGUGAGAUCAACACAUAAAAGAAAAUUAUCUGGUUAUUGAAGUAUUUUUUAGAUCUAUUCAUAAAAAGUGAGAUGUUUAAAAAUGUGUGUGAAAACUAUAAUUCUAAUAUCCUAUUUUGAUAGGCUGAGAUCCGUUGAUGUGUGUAUUGGUAAGUAUAUGUUUUGCAGAUCUUUGGGAAUGUGCCAAGCAUUCAAUAUUUGCGAUUUUUUUCUAAUAGUGAAAAUCCCGUUUAUAGUAUUUAUUUGUGAACAAUGCUAAUUGAACGGUCCUGAAAUCAUUAUGAAGAUACAGCUGGAGCCAAAGUCAGCCACUACCCGCCAUUCUAUCCCAAGUUAAAAGAAGUCGCAAUAGAAAUAUAUGGUUGGAUUUUUUCAUCAUUUCUGAAUGCUGACUAAUAUUUGGUCAUUAAACCAGAAUCAGGGUAACUUCAAGUCAAGAUAAUAUUCCCCUUUACAACAGCGAAAAUCAUGAUAAUUAAUUACAAAAGAGAGGCAGAUAAUACCAAAGGGAUAUUCAAACUCACAAGUCGAAGACAAAUUGACAACGCUAUUGGAAUAAACGAAAAACGACCGAAAGACAAAACAAAACAUAGAAAACUAUAACGAUUGUACAACACUAACCCAACCAACAACAGGUGUGAUCUCUGGGGUUCAAGAUAAUUAAACAGAAUGUGCUCAACAUGUAGCAACUAUGGUAUCUCUCGUGAAAGUGCAAAGUCGGUGAUAGAUAAAAUUCGAGGAAAAGAGGACUGGAUUUUGGAUUGGAGCAUAAAUGUCGGCAUCUGUGAAAAUGAUAUUCCAUUACGCUCAAAACAAAAUGUGAAGGCGUUCGUUACAUUUGUAAAGAAAUGACCUCCACUUCACCUUUGAAAACCCAGGUUUAAUAUACAGCUUCCUUGUAAGCAGCAACACUUUUCGGUGAAAUCAUGAUAGAAAUGCAUGCUCUGGAAUAUUGCAUGAGUUGGGAGAAAUAUAUUACACACAGAGGUGCUGCUGGAAUGUUCUACACAGAAAUGAAAAGUUCUCAAUCGAUAUGGGAUUCCUUUCAUCAUUUGCAUGCAUACAUAUUAAACAGAGAGAGACACCUAUAUGGGAUUCCUUUUAUCAUUAGUAUGCGUAUGUAUUAAACAGAGACACAAACCGAUAAGCAAUUAAUGGAGGUCACAGACUUUGUAUUAUACCGCAGGAAGACAUGUUACCCUAUCCGGACACAUGAUUCUGGACCGACCAAUAUCUGCUCUUACUCCUAAAGAUUGUUUGCUUGGCAGAGAGGCAGCCAAUCUUCGAUUUGAACCGGGCAAGGAUCGAGCCAAAGACUUCCGACACUCCAGCAGUGGUGCAGCUUCCAUUGACGCAAUUAGGCAACCGCCUUAUCAAAUUGUUGACCAUUUAAAAAGAGAUAUAAAGAGAAAAUAUAUACCGUGUAUUUCAUAGUAUAGAGUAUACAGAGUGACGACGGCUCAACACGUUGACUGCUUUACUCUUUGCUCACUCAUUCCUCAUUAUUAACGUCUUGAAAAAAUAUACGUCACACUUUCUUUCCUAAAAUUAACAAGGUAGAUGCAAAUAUCUUUUUUAAGGAACAGACAAAGUAUACCUCGCAAAAAACUGUUUCAAACAAGAGGUCAUAACUGUGAAACUGACAUGAUGCUUGAUUUUUGUUUUUUGAAAAUAAACUUGUUACUUUAUUUGGA
This is a long non-coding RNA of Mytilus californianus (California mussel), 2215 nucleotides long. RefSeq lists it as uncharacterized. The record is from RefSeq and is a predicted model, not a curated record. Lineage: Eukaryota; Metazoa; Mollusca; Bivalvia; Mytilida; Mytilidae. The transcript has 4 exons.